RNAcentral lists this ribosomal RNA (492 nucleotides) under uncultured bacterium. Its description in RNAcentral is "partial 16S ribosomal RNA". It matches the Rfam family "Bacterial small subunit ribosomal RNA", at positions 28 to 507 of the family's 1533-position model. The record is from RNAcentral.
GAUGAACGCUAGCUACAGGCUUAACACAUGCAAGUCGAGGGGAAACGCCAUCGAAAGCUUGCUUUUGAUGGGCGUCGACCGGCGCACGGGGGAGGAACGCGUAUCCAACCUGCCCACCACUUGGGGAUAACCUUGCGAAAGUAAGACUAAUACCCAAUGAUAUCUCUAGAAGACAUCUGAAAGAGAUUAAAGAUUUAUCGGUGAUGGAUGGGGAUGCGUCUGAUUAGCUUGUUGGCGGGGUAACGGCCCACCAAGGCAACGAUCAGUAGGGGUUCUGAGAGGAAGGUCCCCCAAAUUGGAACUGGGGCACGGUCCAAACUCCUACGGGAGGCAGCAGUGAGGAAUAUUGGCAAAUGGACGAGAGUCUGAACCAGCCAAGUAGCGUGCAGGAAGACGGGCCUAUGGGUUGUAAACUGCUUUUAUAAGGGAAUAAGGUGAGUCUCGGGAGACUUUUUGAAGGUACCUGAUGAAUAAGGACCGGCUAAUUACGUG